UGGAAGUAAAAAGUCGUAACAAGGUCUCCGUAGGUGAACCUGCGGAGGGAUCAUUACACAAAUAUGAAGGCGGGCUGGAACCUCUCGGGGUUACAGCCUUGCUGAAUUAUUCACCCUUGUCUUUUGCGUACUUCUUGUUUCCUUGGUGGGUUCGCCCACCACUAGGACAAACAUAAACCUUUUGUAAUUGCAAUCAGCGUCAGUAACAAAUUAAUAAUUACAACUUUCAACAACGGAUCUCUUGGUUCUGGCAUCGAUGAAGAACGCAGCGAAAUGCGAUAAGUAGUGUGAAUUGCAGAAUUCAGUGAAUCAUCGAAUCUUUGAACGCACAUUGCGCCCUUUGGUAUUCCAAAGGGCAUGCCUGUUCGAGCGUCAUUUGUACCCUCAAGCUUUGCUUGGUGUUGGGCGUCUUGUCUCUAGCUUUGCUGGAGACUCGCCUUAAAGUAAUUGGCAGCCGGCCUACUGGUUUCGGAGCGCAGCACAAGUCGCACUCUCUAUCAGCAAAGGUCUAGCAUCCAUUAAGCCUUUUUUUCAACUUUUGACCUCGGAUCAGGUAGGGAUACCCGCUGAACUUAAGCAUAUCAAUAAGCGGAGGAAAAGAAACCAACAGGGAUUGCCCUAGUAACGGCGAGUGAAGCGGCAACAGCUCAAAUUUGAAAUCUGGCUCUUUUAGAGUCCGAGUUGUAAUUUGCAGAGGGCGCUUUGGCUUUGGCAGCGGUCCAAGUUCCUUGGAACAG
This 737-nucleotide ribosomal RNA is filed under the name Alternaria sp. G5A. RNAcentral describes it as "eukaryotic LSU rRNA". The stretch from base 222 to 375 matches the Rfam family "5.8S ribosomal RNA". The record is from RNAcentral. Lineage: Eukaryota; Fungi; Ascomycota; Dothideomycetes; Pleosporales; Pleosporaceae.